CCUACGGGGGGCUGCAGUGAGGAAUAUUGGUCAAUGGACGAGAGUCUGAACCAGCCAAGUAGCGUGAAGGAUGACUGCCCUAUGGGUUGUAAACUUCUUUUAUAUGGGAAUAAAAUGUUCCAUGUGUGGGAUUUUGUAUGUCCCAUAUGAAUAAGGCUCGGCUAACUCCGUGCCAGCAGCCGCGGUAAUACGGAGGAUCUGAGCGUUAUCCGGAUUUAUUGGGUUUAAAGGGAGCGUAGGUGGAUUGUUAAGUCAGUUGUGAAAGUUUGCGGCUCAACCGGAAAAUUGCAGUUGAAACUGGCAGUCUUGAGUACAGUAGAGGUGGGCGGAAUUCGUGGUGUAGCGGUGAAAUGCUUAGAUAUCACGAAGAACUCCGAUUGCGAAGGCAGCUCACUGGACUGCAACUGACACUGAGGCUCGAAAGUGUGGGUAGCAAACAGGAUUAGAUACCCCUGUAGUC
Molecule: ribosomal RNA, 460 nt
Filed under: uncultured bacterium
Lineage: Bacteria
Description: partial 16S ribosomal RNA
Rfam family: Bacterial small subunit ribosomal RNA
Source: RNAcentral